CGUAUAAUGGCGCGGUUUGGUGCUCGCGCGUCCGUCCGGAUGCGCAGUUAAACGGGAAACACGAAGCCCCUGAUCCGGGGCCGGCGUGUGCUGCUCCCGCAACGGUCAACAAGCGUCGCCCAGGGCGACAACCAGUCCGAUUGCCACUGUGCGCUGCAUGGGAAGGUGGACUGGCCGCUUGCCAGCCCGGAUACCGGCCAGACCUGGUGGAAGCAC
RNAcentral lists this non-coding RNA (216 nucleotides) under Duganella sp. Leaf126. The record is from RNAcentral. Lineage: Bacteria; Pseudomonadati; Pseudomonadota; Betaproteobacteria; Burkholderiales; Oxalobacteraceae. RNAcentral also lists the same sequence under 1 other name.